This 253-nucleotide ribosomal RNA is filed under the name uncultured bacterium. RNAcentral's name for it is "partial 16S ribosomal RNA". It matches the Rfam family "Bacterial small subunit ribosomal RNA", at positions 524 to 776 of the family's 1533-position model. The record is from RNAcentral.
UACAGAGGCCCCAAGCGUUACUGAGAAUCACUGGGUUUAAAGGGUGCGUAGGUGGUCCGUUAAGUUCGUUGUGAAAGCCCUGGGCUCAACCCAGGAACUGCUUCGAAUACUGGCGGACUUGAGGCUAGUAGGGGUUACUGGAACUGACGGUGGAGCGGUGAAAUGCGUAGAUAUCGUCAGGAACGCCAAUGGUGAAGACAGGUAACUGGGCUAGUUCUGACACUGAGGCACGAAAGCGUGGGGAGCGAACGGG